UACAGAGGGGGCGAGCGUUAUUCGGAAUUAUUGGGCGUAAAGCGCACGUAGGCGGCAUUGCAAGUCGGAUGUGAAAUCCCUCGGCUUAACCAAGGAAGUGCAUCCGAAACUGCAGUGCUUGAGUACUUAAGAGGAUCGCGGAAUUCCCGGUGUAGAGGUGAAAUGCGUAGAUAUGUGGAGGAACACCGAUGGCGAAGGCAGCCCCCUGGGUCAAGAUUGACGCUCAUGCACGAAAGCGUGGGGAGCAAACAGG
RNAcentral lists this ribosomal RNA (253 nucleotides) under uncultured bacterium. Its description in RNAcentral is "partial 16S ribosomal RNA". It matches the Rfam family "Bacterial small subunit ribosomal RNA", at positions 524 to 776 of the family's 1533-position model. The record is from RNAcentral.